RNAcentral lists this transfer RNA (67 nucleotides) under Ancistrocheirus sp. 2 FFA-2023. RNAcentral describes it as "tRNA-Tyr". Lineage: Eukaryota; Metazoa; Mollusca; Cephalopoda; Oegopsida; Ancistrocheiridae. The record is from RNAcentral.
UGUGGGGUGGUCGAUCGAAGUCGGUAGAUUGUAAAUCUAUUUAUGAGUUGCAUAAACUCUCCCAUAA